GCCAGCAUGGUGUAGUGGUUUGAAGGUUGGACCACAGCUCUGGAGACCAGGGUUUGAAUCCCUGUUCAGCCA
This is a non-coding RNA of Phrynosoma platyrhinos (Desert horned lizard), 72 nucleotides long. NCBI's taxonomy places the organism in Eukaryota, Metazoa, Chordata, Lepidosauria, Squamata, Phrynosomatidae. The record is from the annotation of a GenBank genome assembly.